AAGUCGUAACAAGGUUUCCGUAGGUGAACCUGCGGAAGGAUCAUUACUGAGUUAGGGUCUCAUCUCGAGCCCGAACCUCCAACCCUUUGUAUAAAACACUUUGUUGCUUUGGCAGGCCCGUCUGAAAAUCCUUUCACCGGGAUCGACGACCGCCGGGGGGCGUUUAGUCACCUCUGGCCAGUGCUUGCCGAUAGCCUAUUCAAAAAUUCUUUAUUAAAAUCAUGUCUGAAAAAAUUAUAACUAAAUAUAAUUAAAAA
Molecule: unclassified non-coding RNA, 257 nt
Filed under: plant metagenome
Description: partial contains small subunit ribosomal RNA and internal transcribed spacer 1
Rfam family: Eukaryotic small subunit ribosomal RNA (bases 1-46)
Source: RNAcentral